AAUGUGUGGUACCUAUAAGCUUAUAAAUUUGCCACAAAAUUAUAAGCAAAGACAAAUUUGGUGAUGAUACCGUAAUUUUGUCGCUUUCAACAAAUUAUUUGUUGACCGUGUUCCACUCAGGUAAAGAUGGAAUGCUAUGAGAAUAUUUCAAGUGAGUUUUUCAACAAAACAUUGUGAUGACGUCAUCAACUUUUUAGGAAGAACACAUAUACCAGUUUGGAGAAGUACGGUGUAAUACUAAUAACAGUAGUGCUAUAUUCACAAAACUUCGCUAGAUAGGGCUUUUAGAUAACGCCAGUUCUUGUGAGAAAGACGAAAAUUUUCCAAACUGUAAUGACGGAAACUUUUAACAUUAUCUGCCCCUUGAAGUAGGAGUAUAGUGGGACGAAGCUUUAGGAAAAGAGAUAGGCCGUUGAUUUAGUUAAUAGUGUAAACAUCAUAAGCAACUUCAAAAAAUUGAUCUAAUGUUAUUUGGACAGAACUUUUUUCGCAGUGGAAUUAUAUUAUUAUUAGUUUUUUAAUAACCCCAAAGUAAAAAUAAAGAUAUGUGUGGAUUGUUAAAGCAGCUUGCUAUGCAUAUGCUCCAGGUGAGUUUUUCCAUUACAAAAUUUUGUGAUGAGGUCAUCAAUAUUUUAGCAAGAACACGUGUAUAUAUUUGAAUAGGUGCAUUGUAAUACUAAUAAUUGCAGUACUAUUUUCUCAAAACCUCGGGAUGAGCCAUUCUUGAUUUGAUGAAUAAAAAAAAACUGCGAUCUGGCUUUGAUCCUAGGACCUCUAAUAUUUGCUUAUACGAGGAGUCCCGAAAAAAUUAAUGACUGAGUCAAUUUAUUUUAUUGAUUACAUCAGGAAUUGCAAAACUAAAUACUUUGAAAUCUUACAGACGUUUCGAAGUUAGCAUGGUAAAAUUUUUAAUCAAAGUGGAUCUGUUUAUCGACCCCAAAAAAUUGAUGACGUCAUCUCAAAAUUUUGGCGAAUAAAUCCUUUCUAAGGUAUGCAAAAUAUGAUCAGUCUAUACUUGUAAUUUGUCACUGCAUUCAUAUUUUUUAGAUUUGCUUAUACAAGGUGAUUGAAAAAAUUAAUGAUUCAGUCAGGAUAUUUUACUGAAUAAAUUAAGAAUUGCAAAACUGAAUACUUUGAAACCUUGCAGACGUUUUAAAGUUAUUGUAAGUAAGGUAGAUUGUGAAUCAAAAUAUAUCUGUUUAUUCCCCCCCCCCCCCCAAAUUGACUACGUCAUCUCAAAGUUUUGCCGAAUAAAUUUUACCCAAAAUGUGCAAAAUAUGAUGACUUUUUACUUGUGAUUUAUCAUUACAUUCGGUUUUUUUUAGAUUUGCUUAUAUAGGUGGCUAAAAAAAAAUCAUGAGUGAGUCAAUUUAUUUUAUUGAUUAAAUCAGGAAGGGCUCAUUCCAUUUUCCCAGAAAAUUUUGGGAAUACAAUACUGUUUUAUUAGUAUUACACUGCACCAAUUCAAGUUGAUAUACGUGUCCUUGCAAAAAUGUUGAUGACAUUUUCAUCAUCACAAAAUUGUCUAAAGAAAAAACUCAACUCGAACAUGCUGUAUAUGUAAAAAUCUAGGUAUCUC
Zophobas morio is the source of this 1579-nucleotide long non-coding RNA. RefSeq lists it as uncharacterized. Lineage: Eukaryota; Metazoa; Arthropoda; Insecta; Coleoptera; Tenebrionidae. The record is from RefSeq and is a predicted model, not a curated record. The transcript is spliced from 5 exons.